CUUUACUGUAGCCUGGUAUUGGGUUCGGGCUUUGACUGCGCAGGAUAGGAGGGAGACUGAGAAGUGUGCCUUGUGGGGCACCUGGAGUCAACGGUGAGAUACCACUCUGUCAGAGCUAGAAUUCUAACCUUCACCCGUAAUCCGGGGAAGGAACCGUAUCAGGUGGGCAGUUUGACUGGGGCGGUCGCCUCCUAAAAGGUAACGGAGGCGCGCAAAGGUGUUCUCAGGCUGGUUGGAGAUCAGCCGUAGAGUGUAAAGGCAGAAGAACGCUUGACUGUGAGAGUGACAACUCAAGCAGGGUGGAAACACGGCCUUAGUGAUCCGACGGUAUGCGCGUGGAAGUGCCGUCGCUCAACGGAUAAAAGUUA
Molecule: ribosomal RNA, 368 nt
Filed under: uncultured organism
Description: bacterial LSU rRNA
Rfam family: Bacterial large subunit ribosomal RNA
Source: RNAcentral